This 292-nucleotide ribosomal RNA is filed under the name uncultured Acidobacteriota bacterium. RNAcentral describes it as "uncultured Acidobacteria bacterium partial 16S ribosomal RNA". The record is from RNAcentral. Lineage: Bacteria; Pseudomonadati; Acidobacteriota.
GGACUACUGGGGUAUCUAAUCCUGUUUGCUACCCACGCUUUCGUGUCUCAGCGUCAGUUACGGUCCAGAUAGCCGUCUACACCACCGGUGUUCCUCCUGAUAUCUACGCAUUUCACCGCUACACCAGGAAUUCCACUAUCCUCUCCCGCACUCUAGUCUUUCAGUAUUCGGCGCACCCUCCCAGUUGAGCCGGGAGAUUUCACACCAAACUUAGAAGACCGCCUACACACCCUUUACGCCCAGUAACUCCGAACAACGCUUGCUGCCUACGUAUUACCGCGGCUGCUGGCAC